Non-coding RNA from Myotis davidii, 73 nucleotides. The record is from Rfam. Lineage: Eukaryota; Metazoa; Chordata; Mammalia; Chiroptera; Vespertilionidae.
GCCAGUGUGGCUCAGUGGUGGAGUGUUGGCCCGUGUGCCAAAGGGUUGUGGGUUCAAUUCCCUGUCAAGGGCA